Molecule: non-coding RNA, 488 nt
Organism: Phasianus colchicus (ring-necked pheasant)
Lineage: Eukaryota; Metazoa; Chordata; Aves; Galliformes; Phasianidae
Source: RefSeq, a predicted model, not a curated record
UUGGGAUUUCAUUGCUUUUGGGGCCAUUUUUGUGGUAAACUUUUAGGAUUUUGCUGCUUUUGUGGCCAUUUUGUGGUAAAAAUGUGGGACUCCGUUCCUUUUGUGGCCAUUUUUGUGGCAAACCUUUGUCAUCUUUCUGCUUCACUCUCCACUCCGGGGUUAAAACCACCGGAUUUUUCCGUUUGUGGGGUCGUUUUUUGGGGUCAAACCGCGGAUUUCUCUCUUUUUCGGGGCAGCCGAUUCGUGCUUCUCGGCUCUGUUCGCCCACGACGAGAUGGCGGACAUCGCCCGCCAUUUUGUCCGCCUCCAAGUGGAGCCGCCUGGGAUGCAGCGCCGCGCCGCGCCGUUUCCGGAUGGCUAUCAGUACCCAUCCCUGGAGCAGCUGGCCGAGACGAUCCCAUACGUCCUCCAACACUUCAACGUGAAGAGCGUUAUUGGGAUCGGAGUGGGAGCGGGAGCUUUCGUCCUCGCCAAGUUUGGGGUGAGCC